Molecule: unclassified non-coding RNA, 328 nt
Filed under: soil metagenome
Description: partial contains 5.8S ribosomal RNA, internal transcribed spacer 2, and large subunit ribosomal RNA
Rfam family: 5.8S ribosomal RNA (bases 1-120)
Source: RNAcentral
GAUGAAGAACGUAGCGAAAUGCGAUAAGUAAUGUGAAUUGCAGAAUUCAGUGAAUCAUCGAAUCUUUGAACGCACAUUGCGCCCCUUGGUAUUCCGAGGGGCAUGCCUGUUCGAGCGUCAUUAUAACCCCUCAAGCUCAGCUUGGUGUUGGGGCCUGCUGCACUGGCAGCCCUUAAAAUCAGUGGCGGCGCCAUCUGGCUCUAAGCGUAGUAAUUCUUCUCGCUAUGGAGUCCUGGUGGAUGCUUGCCAUCAACCCCCAAUUUUUCUAUGGUUGACCUCGGAUCAGGUAGGGAUACCCGCUGAACUUAAGCAUAUCAAUAAGCGGAGA